Molecule: ribosomal RNA, 2010 nt
Filed under: Escherichia coli UMEA 3805-1
Lineage: Bacteria; Pseudomonadati; Pseudomonadota; Gammaproteobacteria; Enterobacterales; Enterobacteriaceae
Description: bacterial LSU rRNA
Rfam family: Bacterial large subunit ribosomal RNA
Source: RNAcentral
UUAAGCGACUAAGCGUACACGGUGGAUGCCCUGGCAGUCAGAGGCGAUGAAGGACGUGCUAAUCUGCGAUAAGCGUCGGUAAGGUGAUAUGAACCGUUAUAACCGGCGAUUUCCGAAUGGGGAAACCCAGUGUGUUUCGACACACUAUCAUUAACUGAAUCCAUAGGUUAAUGAGGCGAACCGGGGGAACUGAAACAUCUAAGUACCCCGAGGAAAAGAAAUCAACCGAGAUUCCCCCAGUAGCGGCGAGCGAACGGGGAGCAGUCCAGAGCCUGAAUCAGUGUGUGUGUUAGUGGAAGCGUCUGGAAAGGCGCGCGAUACAGGGUGACAGCCCCGUACACAAAAAUGCACAUACUGUGAGCUCGAUGAGUAGGGCGGGACACGUGGUAUCCUGUCUGAAUAUGGGGGGACCAUCCUCCAAGGCUAAAUACUCCUGACUGACCGAUAGUGAACCAGUACCGUGAGGGAAAGGCGAAAAGAACCCCGGCGAGGGGAGUGAAAAAGAACCUGAAACCGUGUACGUACAAGCAGUGGGAGCACGCUUAGGCGUGUGACUGCGUACCUUUUGUAUAAUGGGUCAGCGACUUAUAUUCUGUAGCAAGGUUAACCGAAUAGGGGAGCCGAAGGGAAACCGAGUCUUAACUGGGCGUUAAGUUGCAGGGUAUAGACCCGAAACCCGGUGAUCUAGCCAUGGGCAGGUUGAAGGUUGGGUAACACUAACUGGAGGACCGAACCGACUAAUGUUGAAAAAUUAGCGGAUGACUUGUGGCUGGGGGUGAAAGGCCAAUCAAACCGGGAGAUAGCUGGUUCUCCCCGAAAGCUAUUUAGGUAGCGCCUCGUGAAUUCAUCUCCGGGGGUAGAGCACUGUUUCGGCAAGGGGGUCAUCCCGACUUACCAACCCGAUGCAAACUGCGAAUACCGGAGAAUGUUAUCACGGGAGACACACGGCGGGUGCUAACGUCCGUCGUGAAGAGGGAAACAACCCAGACCGCCAGCUAAGGUCCCAAAGUCAUGGUUAAGUGGGAAACGAUGUGGGAAGGCCCAGACAGCCAGGAUGUUGGCUUAGAAGCAGCCAUCAUUUAAAGAAAGCGUAAUAGCUCACUGGUCGAGUCGGCCUGCGCGGAAGAUGUAACGGGGCUAAACCAUGCACCGAAGCUGCGGCAGCGACGCUUAUGCGUUGUUGGGUAGGGGAGCGUUCUGUAAGCCUGCGAAGGUGUGCUGUGAGGCAUGCUGGAGGUAUCAGAAGUGCGAAUGCUGACAUAAGUAACGAUAAAGCGGGUGAAAAGCCCGCUCGCCGGAAGACCAAGGGUUCCUGUCCAACGUUAAUCGGGGCAGGGUGAGUCGACUCCUAAGGCGAGGCCGAAAGGCGUAGUCGAUGGGAAACAGGUUAAUAUUCCUGUACUUGGUGUUACUGCGAAGGGGGGACGGAGAAGGCUAUGUUGGCCGGGCGACGGUUGUCCCGGUUUAAGCGUGUAGGCUGGUUUUCCAGGCAAAUCCGGAAAAUCAAGGCUGAGGCGUGAUGACGAGGCACUACGGUGCUGAAGCAACAAAUGCCCUGCUUCCAGGAAAAGCCUCUAAGCAUCAGGUAACAUCAAAUCGUACCCCAAACCGACACAGGUGGUCAGGUAGAGAAUACCAAGGCGCUUGAGAGAACUCGGGUGAAGGAACUAGGCAAAAUGGUGCCGUAACUUCGGGAGAAGGCACGCUGAUAUGUAGGUGAAGUCCCUCGCGGAUGGAGCUGAAAUCAGUCGAAGAUACCAGCUGGCUGCAACUGUUUAUUAAAAACACAGCACUGUGCAAACACGAAAGUGGACGUAUACGGUGUGACGCCUGCCCGGUGCCGGAAGGUUAAUUGAUGGGGUUAGCGCAAGCGAAGCUCUUGAUCGAAGCCCCGGUAAACGGCGGCCGUAACUAUAACGGUCCUAAGGUAGCGAAAUUCCUUGUCGGGUAAGUUCCGACCUGCACGAAUGGCGUAAUGAUGGCCAGGCUGUCUCCACCCGAGACUCAGUG